RNAcentral lists this ribosomal RNA (467 nucleotides) under uncultured bacterium. RNAcentral's name for it is "partial 16S ribosomal RNA". It matches the Rfam family "Bacterial small subunit ribosomal RNA", at positions 28 to 506 of the family's 1533-position model. The record is from RNAcentral.
GACGAACGCUGGCGGCGUGCUUAACACAUGCAAGUCGAACGGAAAGGCCCUGCUUUUGUGGGGUGCUCGAGUGGCGAACGGGUGAGUAACACGUGAGUAACCUGCCCUUGACUUUGGGAUAACUUCAGGAAACUGGGGCUAAUACCGGAUAGGAGCUCCUGCUGCAUGGUGGGGGUUGGAAAGUUUCGGCGGUUGGGUAUGUACUCGCGGCUUAUCAGCUUGUUGGUGGGGUAGUGGCUUACAAAGGCUUUGACGGGUAGCCGGCCUGCGAGGGUGACCGGCCACAUUGGGGAUGAGAACCGGCCGAGGCACAUAGGGGAGGCAGCAGUGGGGAAUAUUGCAGAAUGGACGGAAGCGUGAUGGAGAAACGGGGCGUGCGGGAGGACGCCUUUCGGGUUGUAAACCGAUUUCGCCUGUGACGAAGCGUGAGUACGGGAAAUGGAUAAAGAAGCACCGGCAAACUACGU